This 42562-nucleotide long non-coding RNA is filed under the name Malus domestica (apple). RNAcentral describes it as "long non-coding RNA (MDOM_LNC006555)". The record is from RNAcentral. Lineage: Eukaryota; Viridiplantae; Streptophyta; Magnoliopsida; Rosales; Rosaceae.
GGGUGCCCAUGGCUGGAGAAAAUCAUAUAUGAGCAAAUCUGGUUUUAGGGUUCUGAGGAUGUGGGAGAAGUUAUCGCUGGACAUGUCGAAGGCUUUUUUGAGAGUGGGCAUGAGAUGGGGUGGGAGGCCAUUGGUGGUGUGGUAGUGAGGUGGCAACUCCUCGUGUGGAAGAUGAAGUUCCACAAACUCAAUGCAGUGAGAAUAUUUCUGAGGGAGUUUGGGCUUGAUGGAGCUGAGAUUUACCGGUGAGGAGCAAAUAAGGAUGUGAAAAUCUCUGCGAUCGGUGAGUUUCUUGGCUAGCUCUAGGAAGGGAGAAAUAUGGCCGUGACCUAACCAUGGAAGCAUAAGGAUGCUAAUACUUCUGUGCUGAUCAGAAUAAACCAUUUUUCCCCCCCUAAAUUUGACUCUUUUUUAGUUGUUGGUUGUAGAUGAUUGUAGGCCCGUAGUUACUUUAAAUUUUGGUGGAUAUAUAUAUAUAUACCUAUAUAGUGCAAGAUAUGUAGAAUUUGAAGAAACACUUGGAACCUUCAUAUGGAUGGUUCGUGUAAGUAGUAGGAAUUUGCGGUUUAAGUUUUAUGAAAAAGACAUAUAUGGCCAAUGAAUUAAGAAAAAAGAGGCUUAAACUUGGCUUCCUUCAAUUAGUUAGCUGGACAUUUAAUUUUCACAUAGUACUCUUUUUCACAAGUGGAAUUAAACUUCUAAUCGGAGGUGAUGAAUGGUCCAAAUCGUUAGGUAUCACGUUUCAAAUCAAAUACUCUUUCAUCUCUAGAUGAAAGUUAUUUAAUAAUUGUCAAAAAAAAAAUAAUAACAAUAAAAAGUUGCUUCUAAUCUCUAACCAGGUUUCAAGGUUUCAAAGCAUUGUACUCAUGGUUUCACGGUUCAAAGUAUCGUAAUUAUGGUUUCAGGAUUGGUAUAAUUAUGUUUCACAAUAUCGUAAUUAUGGUUUAAGUAUCGUAUCAUUAAGUAAUUUUAAACUCAAUCUUUGUCAUCGACUUAAUUAAGUAUUUGUUAUUGCAUGAUGUGGGUGCUUAGGCCAUCUCCAAUUGACCCAGCCAAGGGGCCGUAGGCCAAAAUAUAAAACCGUCUUCAACCGAUGGCUAGGCCAAAGGGCUUGUGGGCCCCACUAGGCUAUAUCUCAUCCACCAAUAGUGGUUUAAUGUUGGCCAAAAUGAACUAGUAGUGGGUUGGCCAAAAUGAGCCAGCCAGCCAGCCCGUUUCACCCAGCCCAACCUAUUCCAAUGAUUACCUGAUGUCAGGUUACAGUUGGAAUUUGAAUAUUUUUUAGGUAAAAAUUUAAAAAAAAAUUCUAAUUUUUUUCCUAUUAAUACCUAAGCCAUUUCUACACCAUUUCUCACAUCAUUUUCCACCAUUUCAUAUUAUCUUACACCAUUUCUCACAUCCUUUUCCACCAUUUCAUAUGUCCGAAAAACUUAAUUUAAUAUGGUAGUUUGACUCAAUUAACCAUAUUAAUUCAGUUAAAAUAAUAAAUUAUUGAGGGGCUAAAAAAUAGUCCCAUUCGGUUGAAGAUAGAUAUUUUUUGUCAAAGGGCUAUAUUUUGGUCGGCUAAAGAUGGUACAAAAUAUAAUCUCACAUUGUUCAUUAAAAAAAAUUCUUAUAAGACUAGGACGAAAGCAGAUAAAACCGCAUCAUGCAUAUGAGGAGGUGGCAACUCUCCCUCAGCGUUUCACCUUGCUAGAAUGUAAAGCAGAUAAAACCGCAUCAUGCAUGGGACCAUCUCUUUCUCUGUUACAUAAACAAAAGAUCGAUAUUGAUAGAGGUGGGCAGUGAGGUGGCACACAAGAUAAUACAAACCAAAUAUAAGCUGCUUGAAGUCUAGUAUGUGAAGCGGCACGUAGCGGAGGGGCCCAUGCAUGAUGCGGUUUUAUCUUUUGGCAAACUCUAGAACAUGACUUAUAUAUAAAAUAAAGAUAUGUCUUAAUUUUUAUAACUGAAGCAUCUUUUGGCACACUCUAGAACAUGACUUGUAUAUAAAAAAAAAUUAAAUGAGAGACUUAUUUUUCUUUUAUCUCCUCGCAAUAUAUGCAACUCCGUUGUAUCAAGUCUCAUUCUAUGAAAAAAAAUAUUUACAAAAAAAAUUUACACAAAUUUUAUUUUAUUAACAUAAAACGUUAUUUAAUGUAACAUAUUAUAAAUCUUUCUUGUUUUAUUGAUACGAAAUAUUAUAUAGCAAUAUAGCCGUUUUAGGUAAGUUGUAAAAGCACACCACACAGGUGCUUUUUCUGUUGGAAUAUAUGCACACAGAUGCUUUGGAUCUACUGCUGCUGUUGCGGCUGAGAAUGACUGGUCCUUCAAUUUGCGUCUCUCUUCUUCUUUCACAUGGCUUACUUUAGACCUAGAUUUUUCGUUGGUGUUCAGAUGUCGUAAUUGCAUACAUAAAAGUAUUGCUGACUCAUAUAGUCGAUCGUCUUCUGUGGCACACAAAUCAACAUACCUUGAAGCUUCUUUUUAAACAUGAUGUAAUUGCAUAUGUAAAAGUAUUGCUGACUCAUAAUAGUCGACCAUCUUUAAUGUCGCACGUAUCAAUAUACCUUUUCGUUCGUUUUGGUAAAUAUUUAAAAACUGAGAAUUAUUACAUGUACUAACAAAAUCUACUACUUCACUCUUCAUAAAAAUCAGUACUAGGGUUACGUUAUAAUUUUGUUAGUGUUUGGGCUAGAGAUUUGUCCCUUACAUAACUUCCCCUUGUCUUGUUUGUCAGGCAAAGUUUGUUGCUUGGUUUCUGCAAUAUACGUUUAUUAGUUUGAAGGGUGCCUUCGUGGGGCUUUUGUUAAGUAUUGAGGCUCACAAUCAAAACUAAUAUGAAUCUGAGCGUGCCACUGUUCUUUUUAUGUAACAGAUUGUUUACUUGGUUGUUCAGUUAUUGAUUUCUUGUGCCACAAGUCACUUUAACAUCUUGGAUUAUUAGGAUUGUUCAUAGAUGUGUUAAGUCUGUAUUAAGUUCUUUUCUUGCCUUUCGACCAAGGAGUUUUAUUUAUAAUAUCAUAUAUUCCUUUAUAAAGCAGUUCAAGGUCAUUUAAGUUAAUUUCUUAGUUAUUAGUUUAGGCUGACAUCACAAAAACAAGAAUAGUUAAUUUAACAGGGUUAAUCAUAACUAAAACUGAACAAAAUUAGUUAAAAAUGACAUAUGGUUUAAUGGAAGAUACAAAAACAAUAGAUCUAUUUUACAUAAGUACAAAUAAAAGAGAUUUAGGCAAGAUUACAACCUUGGCCGUAAAGGUUUGUCCUCUUGCAAACACCUCUCCUUGUAUUUUACAGUGAUUGAAAUCUUGGAAAAUGAAAUAUAAACGAGGUUUACUAAAGGGAUUCGAUACUCCAACAAGGGGAAUGGUAGCAGAGCUUCUAAAACUGGACAAAAGAAAGCUUUCUAUGGUGGACCUGCUACUUGAAAUGGACAAGGGUAGACAAAUUAAAGCUUUUUUUGGUUUCACUGUUGAGUGUACUGAGAGUUGCUUGAUUGAUUGGUUGAGAGAGAGUUUAUGCUUGUGCCCUUCAUUGCUUUUAUAGACUUUUCUAGCCUAAUUGUCCAAGCCUUCCCUUUUGGUGAUGGCUUCCAGAGCAUGGUGAGUCAUCAUCAACUUUUGCUAAUCACCUACCCAUGCCAUGGAAAAGUACUUAUUGCUGAGGAUGAGUUGCCCUCUGUAGCUUGUCACUUCUCACAUAGGCUUGCUGUCUAUUAGUUGCCAAAAAACGAUUUUAAAUUCAUCUUGGGCUACCAACUGUCAUAGCCCAAUCCUUUUCUGAUUUUCGUAUGCUUGGGUCUUUAAUGGUAUUGAGCUUAACAUUAAAUAUCCACCCAAACAAUGCCUCUUUUAAUCAUUAUUAUGUUUGCUAAAUUUUGGUGCCUCUUUUAAUCAUUAUUAUGUAUCUCUUCUUCUUUACAUGGCUUACUUUAGACCUAGAUUUUUCGUUGGUGUUUAGGUGUCGUAAUUGCAUACAUAAAAGUAUUGCUGACUCAUAUAGUCGAUCGUCUUUUGUGUCACACAAAUCAAUAUACCUGGAAGCUUCAUUUUAAACAAGAUGUAAUUCCAUACAUAAAAGAUGUAAUUGCAUAUGUAAAAGUAUUGUUGACUCAUAAUAGUCGACCAUCUGUUGUGUUGCACGUAUCAAUAUACCGUUCCAUUCUUUUUGGUAAAUAUUUAAAAAUUGAGAAUUAUUACAUGUACUAACAAAAUCUACUACUUCACUUUUCAUAAGAAUUAGUACUAGGGUUACGUUAUAAUUUUGUUAGCGUUCGGGCUAGAUUUGUCCCUUACAUAACUUCCUAUUGUCUUGCUUGUCGGGCAGAGUUCGUUGUUUGGUUUCUGCAAUAUACGCUUAUCAGUUUGAAGGGUGCCUUCAUGGGGCCUUUGUUAGGCCAACAACACAGAAACAAGAGUAGUUAAUUUAACAGGGUUAAUCAUAACUAAAACUUGAAUGAAAUUAGUUAAAAAUGACAUAUGGUUUAAUGGAAGAUACAUAAACAACAUAUUUAUUUUACAUAAGUACAAAUAAAGAAGAUUCAGGCAAGAUUACAACCUUGACCGGCAAGGUUCGUCCUCUUGCAGACACCUCUCCUUUUAUUUUACAGUAAUUGAAAUCUAGGAAAAUGAAAUAUAAACAAGGUUUACUAUAGGGAUUCGAUACUACAACAAAGGGAAUGGUAGCAGAGCUUCUAAAACUGGACAAAAGAAAGCUUUCUAUGGUGGACCUGCGACUUGAAAUGGACAAGGGGUGAACAAAUUAAAGCUUUUCUGGUUUCACUGUUGAGUGUACUGAGAGUUGCUUGAUUGAUUGGUUGAGAGAAAGAGUUUAUGCUUGUGCCCUUCAUUGUUUUUAUAGACUUUUCUACCCUAAGUCGAAGCCUUCCUUUUUGGUGAUGGCUUCCAGAGCAUGGUGAGUCAUCAUCAACUUUUGCUAAUCACCUACCCAUGCCAUGGAAAAGUACUUUUUGCUGAGGGUGAGCUGCCCUAUGUCGCUUGUCACUUCUCCCAUUGGUUUGCUGCGUAUCAGUUACCAAAAAAUGAUUUUAAAUUCAUCUUGGGCUGCCAACUAUCAGAGCCCAAUUUUUUCUGAUUUUCACAUGCCUGGGUCUUUAAUUGUAUUGAGCUCAACAUUAAAUAUCUACCCAAGCAGUGCCUCUUUUAAUCAUUAUUAAGUUUGCUAAUCAAGACAUUGAUAAUGAUUAAAAUUGAAUGCUUGUCAAAACUAGGUAUUAGUGCCAUUUAACUUAGCCAUUUUAAAUAAACCAUUGCACUAACCCACAAUUCCCUACGUUAACUACCUGCCCGUUAUAGAACUUCCACAUUACUCUUUUCGGCCAUUACCUUUAACAAGCUUUAUUCUUAGAGCCACCAAAUUCUCUCGAAUUUUAAUCUUUCCCUGAUUUAGCUUUAGCUAAUUUCUUCACCUUUCGAAUUUAGUAAUGGCUCCUAAAUCACGCUCUGCAUGUGAGUCUGGAGAGGACAUUGUCACUCUUUGCCGCUGUCUCAACGACCUUCACCGCCCUCGAGUUGGCUUUAACCUUCCUAUUUUCUUUCUUGAAGAUAAGGCCUAUUCACUGGGACUUGCCUGGACCCCCAAAGUUCCUGUUGCUGUGGAGAGCAACAUGCUUGCCAAGGAGUGUUUCACCCCUUCAUCAGGUUUAAUCCUACAACUGGAGAGAUGCUUCAUUUAGUGGAAGAUGAUAGCACCUCCGUAAGUUUUCUUAUUUCAUACAAUUUUAAUUCUUAAGAUCUUUUUGAUUUGGACAUGAUGUUUUAAACUUUAUCUCUGCCAGUCUUCACUUCCUCUAGAAGCUGCCAAGUUCCCAACACUGACUAUUAGGGAACCUAUACUCCUUGAGAUACCAGUUGUUUCAGAGGUGACCAGUUCUAGGGCCUCUCAUGCUUCAUCCCCAGCAAGCCAUCCAUCUUCUCCUAAAGCAGCUGUAAUAAAAAUUCUCCCAACCAUGGCUCAAGGUGUAGCUAAGGUGUGAUCAUUUCAUCAACUUGUCUAUCUUUCCCUUUCUUUAAUUUGAUUUGAGAUUAGCCCUGUUAACUUGUCUUUUUUCAUCUAAUAGACUUCUAGUAAAGGUUCGGGCAAAAUCUUCCCAGCCUGCUGUGAGUGAAGUGGUCCAUCCUCGACCUCUUUAGUCCAUCCUCUAAUAGACUUCAAGAUGCUAUGAAAACUCUAACUGAGUUGUAUCAGUUCCAGGAGAUGACCAAGGUGUAGUAUGAGUCAUUUCUCUCAUUCUUUGAGAGCAUAAGGGCUUUGAAAGACCAACACCUUAGGGCUGAGAGGCAAGCCAACUGGGUGAGGUGCUACAAAGAUAUGCAUGCCCGGACUUCCAUUAAUCUUCAGCAACUUGUGGAAGAGGGGUCGACCAUAGAGGAUAGGAUCAUGGUGGUGGCUGCAGAGAUUCAGAAGUUGGAGGAAUGACUUUCUGCUUUGAAAGCUGAAGAAAGUGAAUCAAGAGUUGGAAGAAUCAAAGGUCCAAUUAGCCAAAAGCAACAUAGCUCUAGAGGAGCGAAGUCGCAUUUCCACCAUAAUGCAGACUUAUAUUUCUAGGAUAGUUGCUUUGGGAUGUAAACUUGCAAUCUUUAGGGCUUAUGUAUUCUCUUAAUUAUUGAAUUAAAAAAAAAUUCCUUUGGUGUACCACCUUUAUUUACUUAUUUUACAAUUUCUAAAAGUAACUCCUUCAAUUAUACAAGGAAUUUCAGAUAACACCUCUAAGUGUUAAACUUCAUCAAUAUAAUAGUCUCUAGCAUCCUAAAGAGUGAGAUGAUACUUCUUUAUGAAUUUAGCAUUGAUUGGGUGUUUCUGUGAAUCUCUUUCUAGAUUUACCAAGUAAUAUGCCCCAUUAUCUAAUACUUUGAUAAUUAUAAAGGGGCAUUCCCAAGUAGGACUCCACUUUCCAAAUCCUCUGACUUGUGCUCCCAAUGGUAGAAUUGUUUUCCACACCAACUUUCAUUCUUCAAAAGACUUCAAUUUUUCCCUCUUAUUAUAAGCUCGGGCAACAACUCUUUUUCCUUCUUGGAUCUUGUUUACAGCCUCAAUGUGGGCAACAUCUAAAUUUUCUAUCCCCUGACAUAUAGCCUGCACAAACUCAUCAUUGUGUAGACCGAAUUGGUUCUAUGUUCUCAAAUAACUUACAAUUGGUUCUGUAUUCUCAAAGAACAUACAUUAAUUUCCAUAGGAAACACUGUAUCUUGCCCGAAUGUUAAUGCAUAAGGAGUAGUUUUAGUUCUUGCCCUUUUUGAAGUUUUGUAAGCCUAAAGAGUAUCUCCCAACUUCUCAUGCCAUUUUUAUAGGUUGUUUGACACCAUUCUCUUGAUGAUAUUUAUUAAAAUUUUAUUGUUGGCCUCUGCUUGACCAUUAGAUUUGGGGUAAUAGGGGCAGGACUGGAUCAUCUUUACUUGAACUUUUCUGCAAACUCCUUUACAUCUUUUUAAAACAAAUGAUGGUCUUCUAUCUAUGACAAUGACUUUGGGCACCCUAUACCUAUGUAGGAUCUUGGUCUCGCUAAUAGUUGAAUUAAUAGUCUUCACAGCUAAAGCUUCCACCCAUUUGGUAAAGUAAUCAGUUGCCACAAUUAUAAAGGUGUACCCGAUGAAGUUCAUAGCCCACCCUCUAAAAUGAAAUGGCUUUACAAUUGGAUUUAGAGGCACCGAUGGAGUAUGUUGCAAAGGGCCAUGCCUCUGGCAUUCUUUACAUCCUUUAGCAUAAGCUUUACAGUCUUUCUCUAUAUUCGGCUAGAAGUAACCAUAUCUUUUUAGCAACCAUUUCAUUUUUGUUCAUGCUUGGUGAGCUCCACAAAUUCCCUCUUGUACCUCAGCCAUUACUUUCAUUAAUUCUUCCAAACCUAAGCAUUUCAACAUAAGCCCAUAUGAGGUUUUCUUCAAAGUUUCUUUCCCACAGAACAAACUUAGUUGCCUGUUGUCUGGUUUUUUUGCAAGCAGGGAAAGAAUGAUCUUUUAAGUACUGAAGGAUGAGAGACCUCCAAUGUUCUAUCUCGGGCUCUUUUGUCAUUACGUCCAAAUUGAAUCCCCUCCAAAGAUCGAGGAAGGCUCAUUGUUUGUAUUUUCAUUUUUAUCUUAGGUGUCAUUCCCGGGUCAUGUGCUCAAGAAGCUAGUUGUGCCAUUUCAUUGGUAGCCAAAUUCAAUUCCCUAGGAAUGUGAUUAAUUAUGACUUCACUUCACCAAUAUGCCAACAAUUGAGUGAUAGCCAUAUAAUAUCAUGCCACUGUGAUAUGUCUGCACUUGUAUUUUCAAUUCAAUUGAUCAAUCACUAGCUUUGAGUCUUCAUAGACCUUUCGUUAUUCUGCCUUUAAUUCUAUCAUAAUUUCUAAGCCAAUGAUUAAUACUUCAUAUUCUGCUAUGCUGUUGGUGAUAUUGUCAUAAUCCAAGAAAAUUAAUAAAAAAGGUGACCACCUUGUGGACUGAUAAUGACUAUUCUUGCACCUGCAGCUCGCUUUGUGCAUGAUCCAUCAAAAUAUAGCUUCCAUUGAGUGAUACAUAUACUAGAUAUCCUUUUUAUCUCUUACUGGAUCUAAGUUUCUUUGCCCGAAUUGUCUUCUCUUGGGGGAAACCAUAUACUUGCAGCUUCCAAAGUACCAGGAAUAUUGAUCAACUCUUCUUCAGGUUCUUGGUGUUCUGUCAAAAAGGUCUACAAUCGUUUGCCCCUUCACAGCCCUUUGAGGCACAUAUUAGAAACUAAACUGAUAUUGGACAACAUGUAUUUGAUCAUAUUAGUCUUAAGAAUUAUGUGAGUAUGGCAAGGCAUCAUGUAAUAUCUCAAUUGAUUGGCAGUGAAAUACAAGGUUAAACAUAGCUUCUCAAUGGGGGUGUAUCUUGUUUCUAUCUUAGUAAGGAUUCUACUGAGAUAGUACAUUGCUUGUUCUUUCCCUCCUUCAUUGUUUUGAGCCAAUAAACUCCCUAUGGACUUCUUAGAUGCUGAGUGUAGAGCUUUAAAGGUUUCCCCCUCUGGGGAGGCAUGAGUACCGAAGGAGAUGCCAUGUAGGCUUUUACCUUAUCAAAGGCUUUUUGAUGUUGAGGUCCCCACUAGAACAUGUCUUGAUUUUUUAACCUUAGCAAAGGAGAUAGGGGUUGGAUCUUGCCCACCAGGUUAGUAAUGAAUCUCCUCAAGAAAUUAAUCUUUCCCAGCAAUCUUUGCAGUUAUACUUUGUUGGUAGGUGCAUGUGACUCUUUUAUGGCUUUAGCUUUAUUCUUGUCCACUUCCAAACCUAUUUGGUGGACUAAGAACCCCAAAAAGUUGUCCGAUCUGACUCCGAAGGAACAUUUUCUAGGCUUCAUUUUCAAUUUGUGGGUUUUCAUCCUCAAUAAAGCUUGUCUGAUAUCUUUUAAGCGUUGCUCCUCAAUUUUAGACUUCAUCACAAUGUCAUCAAUGUAUACCUCCAUGCUAUGCCGAGGUCAUGAAAGAUAGCAUUCAUUGUCCUUUGAUAUGUAGCACCAACAUUUUUCAACCCGAAAGGCACAACAACAUAUUCAUAAGCCCCUACAUGUCCAGGGCACCUGAAUGCCAUUUUAUGCAUGUCCACUUUAGCCAUUUUUAUCUGGUUAUAUCUAGCAUUUCCAUCCAUGAAAGACAACACUUUGUGUUUUGCUACUGCAUCAAUUGAUAGGUCAGCCAUAUGCAUAGGGUAUUCGUCUUUAGGAGUUGCUUCAUUAAUAAUUCUAUAAUCCAUGCAACAUCGAAUGACAUUAGUUAAUACUUUCAAUACAGGUACAAUUUUUACCAACCAUUCUACAUAUUUUGGAGGUCUAAUAAAGUCUGGUUUCACAAGUUUUUCAAUCUCUUAUUUAACCUUUUCUUCUAUCUUUUUGACAUCCUUCUUGGGGCUUGUUUCACUACCUUGUACCCCUAUUUUAUAGGCAUUCUGUGUACUACCAACUCAGAAUCCAGUCUUGGCAUUUCUGUAUAAUGCCAUGCAAAACAAUUUUGAACUCAUGCAGAAUAUCAACUAUUUUGGCUCGAUUUGCAGGUUCUAACAGGCUACUAAGUUGUAUUGGCCUUGGAUCCUCCUCAGUUCCUAGAUUAAUGGUUUCCAAGAGGUCUUGAACUUCAAGUGCCAACUUAUCGGGCUUUGUAGACAAAAACUCCGUUGACUUUGGGACUUCGGGCAGGUCAUAUAUACAUUUUUCCAUGUGUACAGAAGCUCAUAUACUCUCUGAAAAAAACUUUCAUUCUUGACUAUCUUUUGUGUCAGAAUUUCAUUCUUUUCACUUUGCCAUUUCUUUAACUGAGCAUUGUUUGAUUUCCCUUCUUUCCCUUCCAUACUCUAGCAGUCAUUUGAUUAAAGACAUGACUGCUACUACUUGGUCCUUUUUCUUUUGGUCUAUCAUCCUUAGUAGUGGUGGGCUGGGAUAAUGUGAGGUCUAUCUCAUUCUUCCUUAGUGAGCAACAAUCCUUGUUCCAAGAGCUUAUAGGCCGUGACCUUGGUAAGGCGGCCGUUUUGAUAAGGUCUUAAACAUUGUAAAAUUCCAACAUUGGGGUUGUAAAAGUUAGCUUCAGCAAUAUUGGCUAUAGGGAGAAAUGGCCAUGAUUAAGCUUUCAUUGUUUCCCAUGAUCCUUGCUUGACAGUAGUUAGUUCAUGGUAGACAACAACUUAUUGAUGCAAGGUAGAUGAUAUAGACAAGCUUUGUUGUAUCCAAUAUCUUCACAAUAAAGCACCAUAAGUGGAAUUACUAUCCACUACAAAGCAUGCUAUCAUGAUCUUGCUAGACCCCAAAUCUACUUCCGAAGGAAAUAUACCAUGUUUCUUAGUAAUAGCCCCAGAAAUACUAGACACUAUGAGGUCUGUUAAAAUAAGGUCAUCUUCACCCCUAGCAAGCUUAUUCAUCUGCUUAAGUGGUAGCACUAUAACUGUUAUUCCUCAAUCUAUUAGCAUUAUUUUAAAAUGAGUCCCCUCUGUAUGAGCUGUCAGAUAGAUAGGUUUCAAAUGGUUUGCUAAAGCCAUACUUGGCUUUCUAAACACCAUUGCAUCAGUGUGAACCCUCUCAGGCAUUUUUUUCCAUGGGAUUGGGCAAAACUAACACUCUUGGCUUUUCUCUGCUUGUCUCUUCAAGGUUCAUAAGGGCCACCAUUGGUUUUUGUGACAAAUAAUCUUCUUGCAUCAUAAUUGGUUGAUAUGGCUCUGUACAAAACAUGAAGGACAACACAUACGUCAUGUUAACAUGAAAGUUGCUAGGUCCAAGUGCACAUUCCUUCUUAUCCUUAAUCUGGCAAAGAAACUAAUCCAUCCAAGCUUGGGCUUCCUCAUUUAACAUUAACUCUUGAUCCAUCUAAGCUUGGGCUUCCUCAUUUAACAUUAACUCUUGUGCUUCCUCUUCUUCCAUGUAUUGAAAUCAAUUAGCUAUUUUGGAGUCCCAAAAGGAAUACCCUCAUUUGGUGGUGGAGGUACCAUUCUUUCAAGAUAUAUGGUUCCAAAACGAAUAGGCAUCGGGUUCCAACUUAGUAUAGGUACCAUAACCAUACUUUCUUGCAUUCUCCUCAACACCUUGUAUUUCCCAGGGUGAGGUGUCUAAGGAACAUGUUCUCCUCAUCCCUUAGUUGUGUUAUUAGCCUUCUUAAUCUUCUUUCUACUUCUCUAGCUUGGUUGCCUCUCACUUCCCUAGAUAAACUUUUUGAUUUUGACAUUCCCAGGGCCUUCUAAAAAAGUAGGGAUUUGUAAUGAAUUCAUAUGUGUUUUAUGUUGUCUCUGCACCAUUCUUAUCAUGGAUGCCCCUAUCUUUCACAUGCCUUCCAUCUUUACCUACUACAUACCAUUUUCGGCCUUGUCAGGCUAAAUUUACCAUUGUGACUGGUAGCAUUGAGGUCCGUUAUGUCCUUGAUCUUGCGUUGCUGUGACUGGUUGAGCAUGGUACUUUAACGUCUCUCUAAUGUGGCAAUCUUCCAUCCUUAUCUUCUACCUCUUCAGAAGAUUCAACACCUCGGACAAAUUCUUAGGUUCUAAAUCUCUUCCCAGCCUGUGAAACACAUUCUUUGAAGUUUAUUUCUUGAACUCAGAAGCUUAGAGGUUAGCCCUGCAUGCUUCUUGUUCUUUUUCUCUCUUUUCUUUUAGCUAAUUCUUGGUUAAUAAUGGCACCUGGUGCUGGCACCUCUAACUUACAUUCACAUUGGCACUUUUUACACAACACUACUCCCUUGAUCACAGUUGUAUGAGGCCUAUCGGGCAACCUCCUACUACCUUUAGCGGGUCUAUCUAUAUCUCUCAUUUCUUCUCCUAUAUUCAGGGUAGCUUUCCCUUUCCCGCUCUCUACCUAAUUAAGGUUCAUCAUAUUAAUAGGGGCUUAUGGGAAAUGAUCUAUGUCAAUCAUCAUGUUGGCCUGAGGUUUUUCUAGCAACAACUUCCCCUUGACUAUCAAGUCUUGGAUCCAGUCUUUGAACUGCACACAAUUGAUGAUAGAGUGAUUGAAAGUGCAGUGAAUCUUACAAUACUUUUUCCCCCUCAAUGUUUAGGCUUAGGUAUUUUCUUGGUAUUGUCAGGCAAGAUUACUUGAGCCCUCACCAACUCUUCAUAUAUGUCAGCAGCCUUGGUUAAGUCGAAAGAAUAUGAUUGAUACUUUGGUGGCUUGAUAGGAACAAAUCCCCUAUCAUUCAUCACAAUCUUUUGACCUUUAAUUGGUUGAACUAAACCCUUCACUAUCAAGGGCUUAAAAAUAGUUGUCAUCUCUGCAACACACAACUUUAUUCCUUCUCCUAAGCCAUCAUUACUUUCCUCUUUUUCCAAACCUUCAAACUCCAACUGAUGUAUUUACGCUUUAUUUUUUGUAAAACAUAGGGGUUUUAGAUGAAUACUUCACUUGUUGUUCUUCUAUCAACAACUUCUCAUACUUAGGAGCUGCAAUCACCGAUUCUUAGAGUUCAUUAAACUGUACAUUGUAAAACUUCUUCCUCAGAGGCAACCUUAAAGCCUUAUGUGCAAUGGCUAUAAGUUAAUGAUUGAUAGGAAACUGGCACCUCAUCUUGGUCUUCCUGAAUCUCAUUAUGAAGUCCUUUAUAGACUCAUGUUCAUACUACUUUACCUCUACCAAGUCAUUCAUGGUCAUCUCUGGAUCUACUAUAUAGAACUGUUUGUGAAAAGCCAUCUCCAUCUGCCGUAAAUUAGCAAUGGAAUUAAGGGGCAAUAAAGAAUACCACUGGGAAACCAGCCCCACCAGAGAGUUUCUAAACAACCUUAACUUGUAGUUUAGAUUGCCUUCAAAAGCCACACAAUAGUUUGAAAACUUGAAAAUGUGAUCUUUGGAAGACACAUUGCAAUCCUCCCCACUAAAAGUUGGAAAAGCAAGCAUUUUAAAAUUAAGAGGGAAAGGAUUAUGCUCAUCCAUAUAAGCAUGGUAAGGCUUAUAAUACGUGAUUAUGAACAUCAGACGGGCUUGAGGUUAAGCAUUUUGUAUCACCAUUCUUCUUAACUCUGUUAGUUCAUUCCUAAGUUGCUGAUUGACCACAUUAUUAUUUGGGGAAGACGAAUUCCCCCACUUUAGGCCAUGAUUUAUGCCCGAGAAAGCUUCUCUCAUUGCAUUAGGCUGCCUUCAAUUAGCUUAUCCUCCCAUUUUAUUAACUAAUGGUAGUGGUCAAUAAGGAGGAGGAUUUCCUCUAUCAACGAGCAAGCUUCUGGUACUGGGGCAAGAGGUCUACAAGCCUAACUUUUAUGGCUCAUCUCUAAGUUCUCCUUGGUGGCUAGUUUCUGCCAGCUCAUUCUUCUUUCCUUUAUCCAUUUUCUUCCCCAGCAAGGGAAACUAAGGGAGAGUUGGUUCCUUCUCUAGAUCUAACACUGUACCUCCAUUGUUGGCAGCUUCCUCCUCUAGUGGGGAGUAUUCUAACUCCAAUUUUCUCUACAAUGUCCUUGUUAAAGAACAUAGCCUGCUAACCUCACAUCUAGUUUUUAGGGAGAUAUUUUCAUUAGUCACCUUUCAUUCAGACUUUUCAAAAGAAGUCGGGGUUUCUAUGAUCCUAGGACUGAGUAGGGAUGGAAAAUCUACGGGCUAAUCCGUCAGGCAAAAAGGUUGCCCGAAUUCAUCCUUCCACCAGAAUGUUUGAUCAUUCCUUCAUUUUGGCAUACAAUACUACAAGCUAGGAUCCCACCGGGCAUGCCAAAAUUAUGUUUAGGCUGAAUCUUUCCCUUACAUAGCUCUUCCUUGUCUUGCCUAUCGGCCAGAGUUUGUUGCUUUAUAUAUUUAUUAGUUUGAAGGGUGCCUUCAUGAGGCCUUUGUUAGGCCUUAAGACUCACAAUAAAACAUAACAUGAAUUUGAGCGUGCCAUUGUUCUUUUUGUUAAUAGAUUGUUUACUUGGUUGUUCAGUUAAUUGAUUUCUUGCGCCACAAGUCACUUUAACUUCUUGGAUUAUUAGGAUUGUUCACAGAUGGGUUAAGUCUGUAUUAAUUUCUUUUCUUACCUUUUGACCAAAGAGGUUUAUUUAUAAUAUCAUAUAUUCCUUUAUAAAGUAGUUCAAGGUCAUUUAAGUUAAUUUCUUAGUUAUUAGUUUAGGCCGACAACACAUAAAUAAGAGUAGUUAAUUUAACAUGGUUAAUCAUAACUAAAAUUUGAACUAAAUUAGUUAAAAAUGACAUAUCGUAUAAUGGAAGAUACAAAAACAACAGGUCUAUUUUACAUAAGUACAAAUAAAGGAAAUUCAGGCAAGAUUACAACCUUGGCGGGCAAGGUUCGUCCUCUUACAGACACCUCUCCUAGUAUUUUACAGUGAUUGAAAUCUUGGAAAAUGAAAUAUAAACGAGGUUUACUAAAGGGAUUUGAUACUACAACAAAGGGAAUGGUAGCAGAGCUAUUAAAACUAGACAAAAGAAAGCUUUCUAUGUUGGACCUACAACUUGAAAUAGACAAGGGGUGAACAAAUUAAAGCUUUUUCUGGUUUCGCUGUUGAGUGUACUGAGAGUUGUUUGAUGGAUUGGUUGAGAGAGAGUUUAUGCUUGUGCCGUUAAUUGCUUUUAUAGACUUUUCUAGCCCAAUUGUCCAAGCCUUCCCUUUUGGUGAUGGUUUCCGGAGCACGGUGAGUCAUCAUCAGCUUUUGCUAAUUACCAUAGUUGCUAAAUACGGGUACGAUUUGAGUUCGCAGUUCAGUUCGGAUACGGGAUUCAAUAGUAACAUAAAGUAUCAUUCACCAGAGAGUAGGCAAGGAUAGUUUGUUUUAAAUUCGUUAAAGAAUGUAAAUGAGUUUGUACAUAAAAAUAUUGAUAAUGAUACAUUUAUAAUUAUAUUUUAUAAUAUUACUUAUUAUGAGCAAUCAUUUUUAUUUUGUAGCAUUGAUGAUUUGUAAGCAAUGAUUUGUAACUUGGUUGGAUGCAUGACAAAGAACAUGGUGGGAUACAAGAAUCCCAAUAAAAACAAACAUGGUUGGUACAUCCCAAUAAAAAUAAAAACAUGGUUUGUACAUGCAUCGAAACAAAAACAAAGAAUAUGAUUGGAUAAAUGCAUCAAAAAUAAUAUGGUACAUGUAUCGAAUGGUUAAGGUCCUUAGGCAUAAGUAUUACCAAAUACAUUUAACCUAAUAACAAAUAUGAAUAUAAAUUUAUGCACAAUUGUUGUUUAGAAAGCAUCAAAUUACAAAAAAAAAAAAAAAAAAAAAAAAAAAAAAUCCACACCAAAUCUUGAAAAGAAAAAAAAAAGGUUUUCGGCAAGAGAAGUAUAGAGGAACCAGAAAUAUUCCAAAAUGAUAUCAACUCAUUCUCGUCCGAUGAGAAUGAAGAAGAUGUAGAGAUUCAAGAAUCAAGGGAAAACUCGAGUCAACCUCAAUCAUCCAGGCGGACUCCACAACAAGCUUCACUGUCCGAAAAUCGUAAAACAAGGGUGAAACCUUUGUUGGUCAGUGAAGUUACUUUUGAGACAUUGGGUAAGAUAAAACAAUGGAGAUGCAAAUACUGCAAGAAUGCAUACAAAUCCUCCACUAUUAGCUAUCACCUCAUAGGUACUAUUAUAUUACUAAAAUCACUAUUUAUUUAUUUGUUAUUUAUUUUUGUUGAUUUUUAAUUUUGAUUUUUUUUUUACUUUAGGUCCUCGAGUCGAAAAAGGUGCAGAUAUUGCUUGUUGUGGUGUAGUUCAGAAAAACUUUGAGUUACUUCUAAAUAUGAGAAACAAAGCACGAGAAGAGGAAAAGAUCAAAGGUCAAAGGUAAAACAACAAACCCGAUUGAAGAAGCGAUGCAAACUAUGGCUAGAGAAGCAGUUGAUAUGAAGGUUAUUAGAGCGUUUUGCGCUAAUCGCAUACCAUUCAAUGUCUUGAGGAAUCCACAAUUCCAUGAGACGGUCACUACCAUAAACAAUGGACCUAAAGGGUACAAGGCUCCUGGGUAUGAAAGAGGUAGAACCAUUCUACUCGAUGCAUGCAAAACUGGUAUUGAAAAUGAGUUAAAACCUGUUAGAGAGACAUGGCUCACACACGGGGUAUCCAUCGUGUCAGAUGUAUGGUUAAACAUGAAGCACAAUCCACCCAUUAAUGUUGUUGCAGUAAAUAGUCAAGGAUGCAUGUUCUUGUAUGCGGAUGAUUUUUCAGGAGUAACAAAAAGUGGUAAAGAGAUUGCUGAUUAUUUGCUUAAAGCAAUUGAACAAGUGGGGGGAAUCAAUGUCAUUCAAGUUGUAACCGAUAAUGCAAAAAAUUGUGUUGCUGCUAGACAAGAAAUUCGAAAGGUGCACAAACAUAUCUUUUGGUCUCCAUGUGUUGUUCAUACAUUGAAUCUCAUUUUUAAAGAUCUAGCAGAAAAUUUUGAUUGGCUUAGGAGCAUGCAACCUAUCUUGUCCAGCAACAAAUCAAAAUUUUCUUUAAAAAUAAGAUUCAAUGUAUGAACAACACAUGGAGACCAAAAGAUAUGUUUGUGUACCUUUUGAAUUUCUUGUCCCACAGCAACACAAUUCUUUGCAUUAUCUGUUACAACUUGAAUGACAUUGAUUCCCCCCACUUGUUCAAUUGCUUUAAGCAAAUAAUCAGCAAUCUCUUUACCACUUUUUGUUACUCUUGAAAAAUCAUCCGCAUACAAGAACAUGCAUCCUCGACUGUUUAUUGCAACAACAUUAAUGAGUGAAUUGUGCUUCAUGUUUGACCAUACAUUUGACACGAUGGAUACCCCGUGUGUGAAUUAUGUCUCUCUAAGAGGUUUUAACUCAUUUUCAAUACCAGUUUUGCAUGCAUCGAGUAGAGUGGUUCUACCUCUUUCAUACCCAGGAGCCUUGUACUCUUUAGGUCUAUUGUUUAUGGCAGUAACCAUCUAAUGGAAUUGUGGAUUCCUCAAGACAUUGAACGGUAUGCCAUUAGCACAAAACCCUCAAAUAACCUUCAUAUCAACUGAUUUUCUAGCCAUAGUUUGCAUCACUUCUUCUAUUGGGUUUGUUGUUUUACCUUUGCCACCACCUUUGAUCUUUUCCUCCUCUCGUUCUUUGUUUCUCAAAUUUUGAAGUAACUCAAAGUUUUUUUUGAACUACACCACAACGGGCAAUAUCUGCACUUCUUCCGACUGGAGGACCUAAAGUAAAAAAAUAAAAAUAAAAAUAAAAGAAAAAAAUCAACAAAAAUAAAUAAUUAGUAAUUUUAGUAAUAUAAUAGUGCCUAUGAGGUGAUAGCUAAUUUGUGUAGUGGAUGAUUUGCAUGCAUUCUUGCAGUAUUUGCAUCUCCAUUGUUUUGUCUUACCCAACGUCUCAAAAGUAACUUCACUGACCAACAAGGGUUUCACCCUUAUUUUACGAUUUUCGAAUAGUGAAGUUUGUUGCGGAGUCUGCCUGGAUGAUUGAGGUUGACUCGGCAUUUCCCUUGAUUCUUGAAUCUCUACAUCUUCUUCAUUCCUGUCGGACGAGAAUGAGUUGAUAUCAUUUUGGGAUAUUUCUGGUUCCUCUAUUCUUCCCUUUCCAAAAUCUUUUUUUUUUCCUUCAGGAUUUGGUGUGGAUUUUUUUGCAAUUUGAUGUUUUCUAAAUAACAAUUGUGCAUAAAUAUAUACUCAUAUUUGUUUAGUAGGUUAAAUGUAUUUGGUAAUACUUAUGCCUAAGGACCUUAACCAUUCGAUACAUGUACCAUUAUUUUUUAUGUAUUUAUCCAAUCAUAUUCUUUGUUUUUGUUUCGAUGGAUGUACAAACCAUGUUUUUAUUAUUUAUUAUUUUGAGGUAUUUACCAACCAUGUUUGUUUUUAUUGGGAUUCUUGUAUCCCACCAUGUUCGUUGCCAUGCAUCCAACCAUGUUACAAAUAAUUGCUUACAAAUCAUGAAUGCUACAAAAUAAAAAUGAUUGCUCAGUAAUAUUAUAAAGUAUAAUUAUAAAUGUAUUAUUAUCAAUAUUUUUAUAUACAAACUAAUUUACAUUCUUUAACGAAUUUAAAAUGAAUCAAACUGAAAACCGUAUUGUCUAUGCUACUCUCUGACGAAUGAUAUUUUAUGUUACUACCGAAUCCUGUAUCCGAACCGAACUGCGAACUCGAAUCAUACCCGUAUCUGGCAACUAUGGUCUAUUGAAUGGUAGGUCUAUGGUUUCUGUAUUAGUUACUACAUAAAUACUAAAUGAGAGUAUUAACAUUGUAAAUAUAAAUAGUUACAAUACUAUCAAGGCGCAUUCAGCAAAGUUCAUCCAAUAGUCCAACAGAAAAGGCAGCAUUACCCCUGUCAAGAACAAUGCAGUCAUUGUGAUAAAUGCCAUAACGACUCAACCACCACCAGUUCCAUGGCCGCCAAAGAGCAACAGCUUCAAAAGGGCAUCAAGAAAAUAGUGUGAAAUUGAACGAUAAAGAAAAACAAACAAAUAAUAUGAUAAUAAUUUCCAUUGUCAUCAAUAUAAAUAUGAUUUUUGUAAUCAAGAACCCUACAAUACAGGACUGGAGUACUUAUUUUUUCAAGUUAUGCAACACAGUUGUAAAAAUAGCCAAGAAAUGAAAUAUGCUACUUAAGGAAAAGUUCGAUAUUACUUUUUCUAGUAGGGAUAUCUAUCGCCGUGGAAAAAAAAAAAGCUUAUAUGAUCACACAUGCCAAGUUGAGAUCACAUGUAUGUGACUUAACAAUCAAGCUUUGAACGAUCCUUAUGCUGUUACCAAGGGUAUCUGUUCGUCGCAGGAAUCUCCUGGCGGUCGAGCACACAGCUCCCCUGGGAGAAUGGCGUCGGUUGAGGGUAUAUGUCGUACUCCUGCUUUCUUCUCGGGCUUGCUCGGGCAAGCCUUCGUCGGGCAGAUCUUGGUCGGGCAAGACACACUUCGGGCAAGGCUCGUCGGGCAGUUCUGAAAGAGAAGGACAAAGUUAAUUUGAAAGGGUGCCUUUGUGGGGCCUUAGGUGUAGGCCUUGAGGCUCACAAUCAAGAUUAACUUUAUCGUGCUCAGGCGUGCCACUGCCAUCUUCAGUAUGGCAGAUGUUGAAUGGGUGUUUAAGCUUUGAUUGAAUAUGUAUACGCCCGAGAAACCGAGUUAGAUAUAACAGGUGCCUUUGUGAGGCCUUAGGUAUAGGCCUUGAGGCUUCCUGUCAAACUAAACCAGCGCUUGGAUGUAUCAUAUUUGGCCUUUUAUGGUUGCCAGAGUUUUAUCACUAUUAUACCUUUGAUUAUCUGAAUCCAAGAGGUAGGACGAACCCAAAUGAGUGCCUUUGUAGGGCCUUAGGUAUAGGCCUUGAGGCUUCCCAUCAGAGUUAAUCCUUAUACUCGGACCAACUAGCAACAACAUAAAAUGAAGCUAAAUAGAUGCCUUCGUGGGGCCUUAGGUGUAGGCCUUGAGGCUUUCUAUCAAAAUUCACUCUAUGCUUAAGCCUUUUCUACGAAUCAAGAUAUAAUAGCAACAAAACGGAGAAAUAGAAAUAGAUUGAUUACUUGCGCCCCAAGUAACUUCGGACUUCUCGCUUAUCAAGGAUCGUCGUGGAUGGGUUGAGUCCACAUAGAGUUCUUUUUUAUGCCUUGAGGCCAAGAACUUUUAAACUGAUCUUUAAAUUACAUGCCCGCGGGCUUAAGCCUCAGAUCUGAUCUAAACUCUGACGUGAUUCAGAUCGGAUUCAAGUGCUGAAGACUCAUUUUCAUUGUGACUUUGCCAGAAAUAACUUGUAUAUAACUGAGAAUAUAUAACAUGUUAUUGUGCUUUUAAAAGAAAGAAAAGACAAAGACAGAGCAAAGAUAGUCAAAGAUAGUCAAGUUUGAACCUUAUCGGCCAAGGCUGAACUUCUUACAAAAUCUAUCUUUGUGGCUCUAUCAGAGGUCUGAAAGCUUUCAGAAGGGGUUGAUGGGAGAAGAGGAUACAAAAUGAAUCGAUACCACCAAGAACAAGGUAGCAGAGCUAUUACAGGGGUUUGGAAGGUUUCCCGAGCGGGAUGAAGGCUUGCUGACUACAGCUUUGUUGAAGGCAAAUCUGGCUUGAGCAGAGUUUUGGCUUUUGUUUGUUUAUUUGAGUGUCCCUAAUUCUCUCUCUUCUCUCCUCCUCCUUUUAUAGACGGAUUCAGCUGGGGGUUCCUGUAGCAAUGGCGGUUGCCCGAAUGCGGUUUGGUGAUGACUCACUAGCUUUUUUUACAUGAAUGCCACCAAUAAUAAAAGUACUUUAUUGGGCUGUGCAGUGAUUGAAAUAACAAUAACUACUACCCCCCUGUGCUCUGGACUUUGAGCAGGUAAACAGGUGGCCUUUGUAAUUUGUGCCCAGCCGAAAGCCUCUUUCCUGCCUCCUAAGUUUUCCUCUGGGCCUUGGGUUUGGGCCGACUUUCUCUCUGGCCCAAAGUUCAGAUUUUAUCCCAAACAGUAUCUACCCUAACCAGGUUGUCCAUAAUAACCACAUUACAUAAAUAAUAUUAAAUUGUACUGAAGUAGAAGUCAUCCAUGAAGAAAGUAUAUUGAAGAUACUAAUAAAAAAAUAUGGAUAUGUCAAUUACAUAGUGCCCUCCAGAUGUAAUAGUAUAUAUCCGUAAAUCGCCAACGGAGCAGUCAAGGAGCUUGUCCUUCAAAGCUUCAGUUGGGUCCACCCAGGUGUUUCAUUCUCUACCUUCCACAACAAAGACCAAUCAAAAAAUUUAGUUGAACAACUGAAAAACAAGUAAUAAUACACACAGAAACACAUAUAUAAUGAGUUUUGAAUCGACAUGUUUGAAGCUUAAACUCAUGAAUCUGAGUAAAACAAUGGAUAAGAAGAAAUGUCGAGCUAAAAUAACAAAAGAGACGAAAAAUGUUAGUGCACACAAUUGUUAACCAUUAUGCAGGAAAGAAGAGAACAGAGAGAUUUCAGAAGAAGGAGGAAACAAAGAAGGUUGAGAAGAAAGAGAGAAAGAGAGAGAAGAAGAAAUUUUACACACACUUAUAUUUUCUUGAAUGAACCAACGGUUAACAAUGAUACAAAUUGUUAUAUAGAAAUAGUAGCACCAUGAGCUAACUGACUAACUGAUCUAUAUCCAAGCAACUCACUAAUCCUAAAUCUGAUUAAGUCACUUAAAUCCACCAUCCUAAUUGCUUCUCUAUUUGGCUAAUCACAUGUGUCCUAUAUACUCUAACAAAAAAGCCCCUCAAACUCUGGAAGAGAGUUGGGCAUGCCACAGCCCAUCAUGCAACCAGAUUGAAGCAGUAAUCAAUAGGUGACAAAUAGUUCACCUAUUUGAGAGUGAGCGGUUGUCAAAGAACACCUUAGGUAGUAUUCCACACAAUUGGAAGUGAGAAGGAAUUGCAGGUGCCAACCUUAAAAACCCACUUACCUAAAUCACAAAAAUGCCAUACAGAAGCCAACGUAAUUGCCCAAUAUCAAUGAUUACAAUGAAUACAUUCCCAUAACCAUAACCUAAUACAAUAAAAGAUCGCUCGGAACUCAUGUACAACAGUCAAUUUUUGAAAGUAACUGAACACCAAUUUUCGCCUUGUUGUCAAAGUUAGAGAACUGGAAAUAUCAACUUGAAUACACAAUGUACCGAAACCCACUGAAAUCAUCACUGAGAGCUCCUUGCAGUUUCAAACUCAAUCAGUCAAAAACAUCCAAAACUUGAAUUUUUGCUGCAUCAACAUAACUAGUUUAAGGCUGCUCCUUGGAUUCAUUCAUUACCAUACCAUAAGUCUGCUUUAUCACUGAUAGAAUUCCUGCAUGGAAGCAAAUAGAUGGAAACCUCUCAAGUUCUGGAAAUUUCAAAGAUGGAAUUAGAUGAGGCAGGGCAAGAUUCAAGAAAUGACACGAGAAAUAGAUGACCAUAACAUAGUUCGUCUCAAUUGACUCCAUUGAAAUCAGAAACUGAAAGAAAGUCUAUGAUCCUCCAAGUUUGGAUCUUGUGUAAUAUAGAGCUAUGAGCAACAGUUUUGAGCAGAACAAUGGGUAAAUGCAAAAGUAUGGCCCUAACAAUUUGAACACAAUCUUAAAAUGAUCAUGUAGUUAAUUUCAGGUGGCAGAGAAUGAUUAGAAGAUGAGAUGGGAGAAUGAGCCAAUAACUCCUUUUGUCUCAGAUUUAGAUACCAUAGCAUUACAAGAAUAGGUGGGCACAGAAGUUCAGAACCACAAAGGAUCUUCACAAUGGCCGUCACUGCAGAUUGCAUUGAAACAUAAAAAAAUGUGGAAAAUCCUCUCAUGAGUGAAAUGACACUCUCAACGCCCCAAUUUACAGAUUUGAAUGUGUUGCUAUAUUUGCAGGUAAGUACCAUUCAAUCAAUGCAAUGAUGAAUCACAAAGUCUCAUCAUCAAAAUGUGACACCAAGAACAGAAAGUCCAUCCCUUGCUUCUUUAAGCCUUCUUAUGAUAUUGGGAAAAAUGAAAUGAUGAUCCUUUCUUCAUGUUGUAAAGAUCACUCUGUAACGUGAUUAUACUACUUUUUUGUACUUGGUAAGAAAAAGUGGUUUUUGAAACGAAACCCACAUUCUCUCGAGAGACUCUUGCUACCAAUUACACAUGAGAUAGCGGAUGAAGAGAGAGAGUUGCAGUAAGUAAGUCAAACAUCAAACUUGAGCUUCUUUAAGCCUUGAUUCAGUUUCCAUGCUUUAAACUCAAACAAAAUCUGAGGCAUGCUAGCAUGGGCCCUCUAAACUGUGAGUUACAUAAUGCAGCUAGGAAUGUCUUGACCGACGAAUGAACAGAAUUACAAGGAUAGAGCAAACCCCAUCAAAUUCUGAUCCGUAUCAAAAUAAUUGCACCCAAAACCAUAAAAUGCCAUAUGACAAUCUCAAGCAUCAAAUUGCAACAGAAAGCACAUGAAGGUAGUUAUGGUCUCAUAUCCAACUACCGAUCACAGAGGAUGAUAAAGAAGAUCAUUAAGGCCCAAGAAAUCAACCCAGUAAUUGGAGACUGCAAGAUUUGCAGUUGAGAAGCAGUAACCAUUGUGAAGAAUUUUUGCUGAGGAAUAAAAACAAACACUUGGUGUGUAGGAACCACUCAACCAAAGCGAAGAACUGAGGAAGAAGAAAGAAAGAAAAUCACAUCCAAAUGAAACAGAGAUCAUAGAAAGAAAGACAUUUUGAUCAAAGAGGAGAAGCUGAACUUGGAAAUUUGCAUAGAAAACCAUUGGUGUGUAGAACCAGAAGAAAAGCGCCCAAAAAUCACAUAGAAAUCAUAGAGAUCAUAGAAAGAUGAGAGAUUGUAUCAAAGAGGAAUCUGUUUGGAUUUUAUAAUUGGUUCUUGAAACUUCUUGCUGAUAGUUGCAAAAAGUAGUGCUCAGCAACUAAGAACCAACAGAUGAGAUUAAAGCCCAUCAACCAUGAAGAUAAUCUUGAUACAGAAGAAGAAGAAAAGAAUUUCGUGUAGCGGAAGCAAAAAAAAAAAAAAGAUCAAAGAAGCUGAUCAAUCUUUAAUGGCUCUUGAUACCAUGUUAACCAUUAUGCAGGAAGAAGAGAACAGAGAGAUUGCAGAAGAAGAAGGAGGAAACAGAGAAGGUUUAGAGAGAGAGAGAGAGAGAAAGAGAGAGAAAGAGAAUGAAUUUUCACUUAUAUUUUCUUGAAUGAAUCAAUGGUUACAAUGAUACAGUUGUUAUAUAGAAGAGUACAGAGCUAACUGACUUAACUGACUCUAUCCCUUAGGAACAAUCCUAACUGAUUAUUCUAACAUCCACCAUCCUAAUUGCCUUCUCUAUUUGGCUAAUCACAUGUGUCCUAUAUACUCUAACAACAAUGUCAAUAUUGCCUCCGAGCUAAUAACAAAACUAAGAUGAUUGUAUCUUUGGGUCGCUAAAACUCAAUUUGGCCAGCGCAAACAGAUGCAGCAAAAUACUAAUUGUAAUUUGGAUGGCAUUAGAAAGAGAAUACUCAUCACUUUGACAAGUGCUCGAAGAGGGAACACACCAGUUAUCAAGAGAGGAAACAUAAAAUGUAAUAAAAUAAUGCGACAAAAUAAAGAAAUUAAAAAUAAAAGAAAAAUAAAAUAAAAAAAAGUGAGAGCCAAGUAAAACCAAAAGGAUAAGCCAUGACGAAAUAGUAAGCUACCACAAAAAAAGGGGAUAAACUGCUAACCUUCUUCGAUUAGACCCUUCAAAACCCAUAAAUCACCAAUUAUUGGAACUUCACCUCCUAUGAAAGUCAAGACAAGUAUUCAUGUCAGCUCAAUUGCAUAUAAAUAAACCCAAUACAAAAAACGAAAGGGAAAGGAGGAAAGAAAAAAGAAAAAAAAAAGAAAAAAAAAAAGAAUCAGCGGACUUUGAACACUGAUUAGAUUUCUAUUGAUAAUUUGUAUAUCCUUGUCCUUUAGUUCAAAAGAUUCCAGGUAGCCAUGGGGCCAGUUAAACAGUUAGACAGUAGAAGUUUGUCGCACCAAAUAAUUCAAGCAUUCAAAAUGCUUGCGGACACAAUGUAGUAAUAUUAUCACUUAAUACGGAAAACCACGAAUGACUAGUGCAAUAAAAUAGGCACUUAAAUUAUCUUCAAAGGGUAUGGAAAGAAUGGUCUGCCUUCCCAAGUACAUUUCAUGGGAAGACGAGUGGAACGAUUUUCUGGGGAUGCAAUGGCGUAACUAGGAUUUUCAAAUAAUAUGGUCAUAAUAUCAUUCAUUGGCCAUUUUGUCGAGCACCUAGUAGGCAUUUGUCAAUUCUUGUCAACAUAUGUCGAAAGUUUAUAUAUGCUAACAUAUGUCAACAACAACUAUUGUUUGUAGAGGCUUGUCGAUAGUGGAUGCAAGAUACUGUGAAGUAAUGUUGAAGGUGGCCAAGGGGUUUCUGAUAGGAACAUAUUUAUGCGACUUAGUUAGCUUGUUCUUGUGCAUUUGUGUUGUUAUUUCUUAGUUAAUUAUGUAUUUUAAGCUAUUUUCGUGUGUUUGUAGGUCAUAAUAACAAAGUUGGCAAGAAAGUGCAUUUUGGAGCAUUUUAGAGCAUUUUUGAGCCAAGAUUGGAUAGUGCAAGUAUGGAGACAUGAGGAUGGACGAUUUUGAAGAUUUGAAGGCUAGAAAUCAAAAUGUGUGUGUGUGUGCAAGUGUGUUGAUCUACAACUCCAAACAUCCAUCCACUACACCCAUUACAUCCACUCAUUACCAAACACUCAUCCAUUACACCCAUUACAUCCACUCAUUACCAAACACUCAUUCACUACAUCCAUUACAUCCAUUACAUCCACUCAUUACCAAACAUCCACCAACUACACCCAUUACAUCCACUCAUUACCAAACACUCAUCCACUACACCUAUUACAUCCACUCAUUACCAAACAUUCACCCACUACACCCAUUACAUCCACUCAUUACCAAACACUCAUCCACUACACCCAUUACAUUCACUCAUCACAACUCCAUACACUCCUCUCCUUAGCCUAUAAAUACAUCCACCCUUCACCAUAAUUUGGAGGCCAUCAUCCAAAGACACCACAUCAUCUACACAACUCUCCACCCUUCACCAUAACUCACUUAUAUCCAUCCACCACCACAAGAGACCAUCCAUUCAUCAAACCACGCCUUGUGCCGCAACAAAGAGAAGAAGGAGGACCCUUGGACGUGCUUGCCAUUCAAGUUGGAUUGUUGGAGCGUUUUUAGGUGUUUUCAUUCUUUUGCUUUCAAUGUCUACUUUGUUAUUUUCUAAUUUUGUUGCAAUUAUGAGUGGCUAAACCCCCAUUUAGUUAGGGGGAAGUUUGAAGCCAUGAACAUGCUUGAGAUAUGAAUUGAUUUCUUCUAAUUGUGAUUUGAUAAGUUGUGAUUGCAAUUCAAUUAUCUAUUUUAUUCAUAACUGAUUCUUGUAUGUUUAUUAAGGAUGCAUACUUAAUUUUCAUGCAUGAAUUAGAUGCUAGAAUAUAAAUGAGUUUCACCUAAUCGUUACAAGUUUAUAUUCAUGAGUAGUGAAGGUUGUUUAUCACAAUCGCAUUAAUUGAAUUCUUGGCAAUUGUAUCAUGCACUCAUAGUUAUAAUUACCUCGUCAACACUUAUGAUUUUCAUUGAACGUAAUGAUCUCUGAUUGUAUCUCUAUUAUGCAUUCAUAUAGGGGACUUUUAGAGAAUGAUUUGGGUUGUCGCAUGCAUUCAUCAAAUUCAAUGAGUAAAGGAAAAUCUGAGGGUUAAUUUGUGCAUCACGGUUAAUCUGGGGUGUUGAGUAUCAUAGUUUAUUGAAAAGCAAUUGGAAAUCAAUUCAUGUACAAGUGUGUCAUGUGUGAAGAACGGACCUCUAACUAAUCCAUCUAUCAUUUUAUUUCUCAAAUUUAUUUUAUAAUCUGCCUAGUUUUAUAACUUGCUUGUUUAUUUCAAAUUCAUCCAAAUCAAAACUCCCAUUUUACUUUCUUGUUCCAAAGUGUUUAAAAUCUGUUUUGUUUGUGUUUUAGAGUGUUUUGAUUUAAGUUAAAACACUAAAUUCGUCCAAAGUUGUCUUUGAGUCAAAUCUGCCACCCGUUUGUGCUUUUAGGCAAUUUUUGAGUGUUUUUAAGUUAUUUUGAGUCUUUAGAAUCUGUUUUGAGUCCUUUGAGUCUAUUCAAAUGUUUUUAACUUUGUUUUUAUGUUUUUGAGUAAGUUUAGAGGUUUUAGCAAGCCCUCCUAAUCCCCGGUUUAAGAACGAUCCCUACUUGGAUUUAUACUACAAUUUGACAACAAGAGAGUUUAAUUUGAGUGCUUAACUUUCAUCGCAUCAGUUUCAACUAAAAUAUUUCAUACAAGAAGAGAGAAAAGGAAGACACAUAAUUAAAGAAAAUAGAAGAAGUAGGAGGACGAGGUUAAAAUUUAGUUUGCCUUAGGGGUCAAAGAUAAUAUACAGACAAAUAUACAAAGGCUUUUUGGAGUUAUUGGAGUAAAAAACAACCAAUGACCCAUGCUGACUCCGUCACUGUAGGGAUGAUAGGUCUUUUGAGUUACAUUGGACUUGCAUGAAAGUAACAAUUAAUUCAUUGUUUCCCAAUUAAGUAAUUAGGUUGGUCUAAUGGGGCAUGAGAAAUUGCAGGAUAGUUUGCUCUGAUAAGAAACUUUAAUGGAAAUGAAAGAAUACAAAGCAGAGGGCAAGCUCUCCAUAAAUCCUGACUAGUAAUCUAUAAAAAUAAUAAAUAGCCAUCAAAGAAAUUACAUCAAAAUAGUAGAGUCAAUUAGGACAAGACUCUUUAGAAUUAGUUGUCCUCAUUUCUCAACUUCAACUAAACAACAUGGGAAAAACCUUUCACAAAAUAGCAUUCCUUUCAAUCAUAUGUAUUAAAAAUUAAAACAAAAUCAAACUCGAAAGGAAGAGUUGUUAUGAAACGCAAUUAUAUGUUUGAAAUGGUACCAGGCAUAUUGUUUGAGGUUGAUAAAGAUUGAAACUUUGAAUAAAGGUUUGAAGAAAUUUGUGUUUUUUUCAAGAGAGAAAAAGGAAGGGCAAGAGUCUGUGUCUAUUUUUCAUAUAUCUCAAAAGGCAAAUUACAAAGACAAUAUUUAUCACAGCUGGUCUAAAAACCAGAUCCUACAUAUAGGGACCUAGUACUCCUCUCCGACCAUUAAUGGUUAUCGGAGGAUAUCAUCCAUUCACUUGGAAGAAGAUGAGAAUGCUCAGUACAAUUAAAAAGAUAAGAACACCAGCUGUAAUCUUUCUAAAACUAGAAAAAGAAACUAGCCGUUGCUUUUAAUGGCUCCUUCUAAUUUUAGUAAGACCUUCAUUUCUUCACACUUCUCAGCUUCCUUUCGAUUUCAUCUGCAGGUUAAUUCUAAAGCUAGGAGGCAGCUUAAUUCUCAACAGCCUCUCCUAAGCUGCUUACUGGCUUCACUCCUAACUUCAUCCUCAAGUAAUUGAAUCGAUCUUUAGGCAAAGCUUUUGUAAAUAUAUCUGCCAACUGUUCUUCACUCCUACAAUAUUCCACAUUAAUGGAUCCUUGCUGCAAUGCUUCCCGAAUAAAAUAAUAUUUCCUGUUUAUAUGUCUGGUUCUCUGAUGAAAGACUGGAUUUUUGACCAUCGAUAUUGCUGACAUUUUGUCACAAAACAAUGGUGUUGCUUCAGUUUGCAUUUCACCAAAAUCAUCCAACACAAAUCUUAGCCAGAUAGCUUGAGCCGUUGCCUCAGCUGCUGAGACAUACUCUGCUUCUGCAGUUGACAAUGCAACUGUGUUUUGCUUGACUAAGGCCCAUGAAAAUGUACCACUACCAAAGCUGAAUGCAUACCCAUAUGUGCUCCUACUGUCAUCUUCACUGCCAGCCCAAUCUGAGUCACAAAUCCAAUCAAAACAGCAUCAUUGUCCCUUGUAAAUUCAAUGUCAUAGCUGAGAGUGCCUUGACUGUAUAUGAGAACUCUUUUAACUAUUCCCAUGUGCUUUUUCGUGGGACCAUGCAUGAAUCUUGAUAGCAAAUUGGUAGUAUACAUUAUAUCAGGCCUGGUUGCAGUUAAAUAUAACAGACUGCCAACAAUUUUCCUAAACAAACCUUCAUCAGUCAACUCACUUCCAUCAACUUUCUUCAGUUUCUCACCAGUGGGUAGAGGAAUUGACACCGACUUACAAUCCUCCAGGCCAAACUUUACGAGUAAAGACUUUGCAUACUUGCUUUGAUGAAUAAAAACCCCUUUAUCAGUUUGUAGAACUCCCAUUCCCAAGAAAUGAUGUAAGAGUCAUAAAUCAGUCAUAUUAUAUUUCUGCAUCAUGUCUUUUUUAAACUCACUGAGCAAUGUAUUGCUGCUUCCAGUGUACACUAUAUCAUCAACAUAUAUAGAGACUAUGAUCAGAUUUCCUUCUUCAUCAGUUCUGGUAUAUAAGGUAGCUUCACUGGUGCUCCUUUUGAAAUUGCAACUAGUGAGAUAAGUGUCAAUCUCACUGUACCAGGCUCUGGGAGCCUGCUUCAAACCGUAGAGAGCCUUCUUUAACUUAUAGACCUUGUGACUUGCAUUCUGAACUUCAAAACCUUCUGGUUGUUCAGUGUAAACCUCCUCUUCAAGUACUCCAUUCAAGAAGGCUGACUUAACAUCUAAUUGGAACAGCUUCCAACCCUUUUGUGUUGCAAGUACAAUCAAGGUUCUAAUUGUAUCUAACCUUGCCAUUGGGGCAAAUGUUUCAUUAUAAUCAAUACCAGGUUUCUGGGUAUACCCUUUUGCCACAAGCCUAGCCUUGUGCUUUUGAACUGAUCCAUCCACAUUCAACUUAGUUUUGAACACCCAUUUGACUCCUAUGACUAGUUUGUCUGCAGGCCUUUCCACCAGCUCCCAAGUUCCAUUCUUUUCAAUAGUUUCAAUCUCAGCUUCCAUUGCUUCCUUCCAUGCUUUAUCUUCAAUAGCAUCAUGAUAGGUUUCAGGUUCAAUAAUGGUCAUAUGACAUCUUGCAUAGAUGUCUUCCAAGCUUCUCAGCUUUACUGGAGUAUUGCUUGGUGUUGAACCUUGACUGGUACUGGCAAUGUUGUUUCUAGGGACAUAUUCAUCAUCUGAGACUAAUUGAGUGAGAUUUGGAGAGUCAAUGCUGUGAGUUUCAUGAGGGGAUUCUUCAGUUUCAACUAUCUCAUAAUUUUCAUUUCCAAUGUUGAGAGGCAUGUAAACAGUUUCAUCUUGCUUGCUUUCCCAAUUCCAGGACUUGUUCUCAUUGAAUACAACACUUCUUGAGAGUAUGAUCUUCUUAGUUUGAAGAUUAUAGAUCCUGUAGCCUUUCUCACAGCUGCCAUACCUCAUAAAGAUUCCCUUGCUAGCUUUGUCAUCAAAUUUCUGUCUGAGAUUUGAUGGAAUGUGACUAUAACAUAUACUUCCAAACACUCUCAGAUGUUUUACACUUGGUUUUCUCCCUGUGAAAGCUUCAAAUGGUGUUUUGUCUGAGACUGCAGUGGUAUAACACCUAUUUUGCAGAUACACUGCAGUGCCAACUGCUUCAGCCCAAAACUUGACAGGAAUUUUCUUCUCAGACAUCAUUGAUCUUGCCAUUUCUCCAAUGGUUCUAUUUCUUCUCUCAGUAACCCCAUUUUGCUGAGGUGAGUAGGCAAUAGUCAGCUACCUCUCCAUGCCAAGAUCACUACAAUACUCAAGGAAUUCAUGUGAGGUGUAUUCUCCACCUCUGUCACUUCUUAGUUUCUUCAAUUUAAAUCCACCUUGAAGUUCAACAAAUGCUUUGAAUUUUUUGAACACAUUUAUCACAUCCGACUUGUUUCUGAGGAAAUAUACCCAACACAUCCUUAAGUAAUCAUCAAUGAAUGUGAUGAAGUAUUUGUUCCCUCUAAUGGACUCAUUUUGCAUUGGACCACAUACAUCCGUGUGCACCAAUUCAAGUGGAUUGUUUGCUCUCCAAGGUUUCUCAUUCUCAAAUGGUUUUCUGUGACUUUUACCAUACACACAGCUUUCACAUAUUCUUUCUUUUUCUGAGAAAUCAGGUAAACCCAACACCAUUUGUGUUUGCUGCAUUUUCUUCAUGCUAGUAAAAUUCAAAUGACCCAAUCUUCUAUGCCAAACCCAUGGAUCUUCUUGUAUUGCUGCUUUCCUUGCCACUGAGUUAACAGAUUCCAUGGACAAUGGAAAACAUCUAUUUCCAGUCAUUGCAACUUUAGCAACAACAUUAUCAAGACUACUAUCAUCACAUAUUAAUGCACAAUUUUCUCCAAACAGAAUGUAGUACCCAUGCUCAAUCAUUUGCCCUAUGCUCAGUAGGUUUUCAUCAAAUACAGGAACUAGCAGCACUUCAUUUUUGUAUCUUCUCCCUUUUCGUGUCUCAACUACAAGUGUCCCUUUUCCUGUAGCUUGAACAAGGUCUCCAGUGCCCAUUUUUACUUUGCAGGUCACUGACUUAUCAAGAUUGAUCAAUAAGGACUCUUGAGAGGUCAUGUGAUUGCUACAUGCGCUGUCCACAAACCACAAAGAUUUGCUUGAUGCAAUUGAACUUGCAUGACAAACAUAUAACAUUGUUCCUGUGACUGCAUCUUCUUCCUUUGCACAAUUUGCAACCUGUUUACCAUUGUCACAAUCCUUAAAUAAGUGACCAAAUCGACUGCAUCUUCCACACUUGGGUUUUCCUUUAUAUCUGCAUAUACCAAAAUGGUAUUUGUCACAUACUUGACAUAGCGGUUUCACAUUUCCUUCGCUGCCACUUGGUUGCUUGUUGUGUGCAGUAAAUUUGUUGUUCCAGCCACUACCACUGCCAUUAUUCUAGCUGUUUUGAGACCAAUUCUUACCCUUCUUAUACUGACCCCAUUUUGGGUUUGUCUUAUACUGAGACCUUUUGACACUUCCAGUGCCAUUUCCAUUUCCUCCAACUUUAAGACUGCUGAAAGCUCUCUCAGUACCUGUAUAUUUCUCUCUUUCAUCAUGCAAGUCUUCUCUUUUAUCAUAGACUUUCACUGAAGCUAAGACUUCCUCAACUCUAAUAGUGUCUAGAUCUCUGGUUUCUUCAAUGAUUGACACUAUGGACUUAUAUAUCCUACUUAGACUCAUCAACAGCUUUUGAACAAUUCUUUUCUCUGUUACAUCUUCUCCUAGAGAUUUCAAGUUGUUUAUUAUCUCAAAGAACCGAGCUAGGUAGUCAUCCAGAGAUUCAACAUCAUUCAUCCUUAGAUAUUCAAAAUCAGCUUUAAUGGCUUGUAAUUUCACAGCUCUUACCUUUUUAUCUCCUCUGAACUCUCUUCUCAGGAUUUCCCAGGCACCCUUUGCAGUCUUCUCAUUUUGGAUUCUGGGAAAAAGUUCAUCAGUGAUUGCUCCUUGAAUGAGGCUUAGAGACUUGGCAUUCUUGAUCUUUUCCUCCUUUGAAACAAUUGGUCUUUCAACUGGAAUGUGCUCUGACUCGCUUUCUCCUUCUUCCUCAGAAAUUUCCUCUCUGGAAGUUUGUUGUCCAGCAAGACCAACUUCAACCACAUCCCAUAGAUCGUAGGCUAUGAGAAUGGUUUCCAUUUUUACGGCCCAAAAAUCGUAGUUUGAUCCAUUAGAUUGUGGUGUUCGUAAAUCACCACCGAAGGAGCUUGAUCCAGCCAUCUUCUCUGGCAGCACCACUCAAAUGGUUAUAAAGGUACCACCUUUAAGCUUUUUUUUUCGGAGAUGGAUCUCUCUCACAAUAUCACGCCUUUUCUUCCGAAUUAGACCCGGAGCUCUGAUACCAUGUUUGAAAUGGUACCAGGCAUAUUUUUUGAGGUUGAUAAAGGGAGGGCAAGAGUCUGUGUGUAUUUUUCAUAUAUCUCAAAAGGCAAAUUACAAAGACUAUAUUUAUCAUAGCUGGUCUAAAAACCAGAUCCUACAUAUAGGGACCUAGUACUCCUCUCCGGCCAUUAAUGGUUAUCGGAGGAUAUCAUCCAUCCACUUGGAAGAUGAGAAUGCUCAGUACAAUUAAAAAGAUAAGAACACCAGCUGUAAUCUUUCUAAAACUAGAAAAAGAAACUAGCCGUUGCAUUUAAUGGCUCCUUCUAAUUUUAGUAAGACCUUCAUUUCUUCACACUUCUCAGCUUCCUUUCGAUUUCAUCUACAUGAUUAUCUUCUGCAGGUUAAUUCUAAAGCUAGGAGGCAGCUUAAUUCUCAACAUCAUAAACAUAGUGAAAGCAUGCUACUUUACCCUUGCUAAUAUAAACAAGCAACCAUUUCAACCAUGGUAGCUGUAUGGCAACAUCCAGGUGGAGGUGAAGACCCAGCUGUAACUGACAGCUUCAUCCACUGGAGUGAUACUGUAAGGGAGCAAAUCAAGCUAGAACUGAUUUACGACCAUUUCAACAAAUAUACUCAAUCAAACAUGAAGCAGAAAAUAACAGAUAAUUCAAAAAUCAUAUAGAAAAGAGUAUACUUGUGUCCAAGACUUACACAUCUAGAGAUGGGCAUAAAAACCAUCGAACCGCGAAACUAAAUCAAAACACGACAAAAUAAACCAUAAAAAAUCGUGUUGACCAAAAAAAGCCAAACAAAGAAAGAACAAAAAUAUAAAAUAAAAAGAAAAGAGAAACCAAGUGCCAAAAUUCCCACUAACCCAUCAUAUUAUUGUAUCUAAAUACAACACCAUAUUAGUCACUUAGUACUACGGUCUAAUGGCAUUCCUUUUCCUCUCGUCAAAUGUACAUUAUUGCUAACCCAUCGUAAGACAUCGCGCACUCUCCCACCCCCUUAGUAUAGAUGAUAUCGUUUGUUAAAAAAAUUACAACAUAAUAUUAAAGACUAAUGAAUUUCAGAUACAUAAACGAGAAAGAUCAUUAAGAGUCUAUACCAAAUUAAUGGAAAAUAAACACCUAUUCGCUUCUAAUCUUUAUUUUGUGUUUCUAAUAAUUCUACUUAAAAACAAACCACCCUCAUUGAUUAUACUUUAAACCACCUUAAGAGAUACCGUUGCGAUACUAUAUCCAUCAACAUUAACCUAGUUUUUUUAGCACGAAUUUUGCUCAGGAAACCAACAAUUCUUAAUUAACUAGUCAAUAUAUUUGACUAGAAUCUACUUGAAUUCCAGAUCAAAUUCCGUUACCACACAAUACUAAGUAUUAGAUAAUUUAGAUUAUGAUAAUCUAUUUAGUAGUCAGUGGAUUCUAGUGCAUUCAGCUCAGGAUUAUAGCAUGUAUUGCUUUUUCAUCUCCGGCCCGUAACUUUCAGGAUACAGUAGGUACUGGAUUGGAUUGGAUUUUCAAAUUGAAACCGUAAUCCUAUUGUUUUCUGGCGUUUUCUCGGCAGCCAAAUAGUCAACAAUUCUUUUCCAUGCGUGCAGAUUCUCGACAACCAACCGAUCGAAGGUUUUGAUUCGGAAUCGAUUUGAGGGAUUGAGAUUAGCAUUGAGGCAACCAACCAAUCUGCUGUUGUGUUGGAUUGGAUUUGGGAGAUUCAAAUGCAAAAAGGAAUGAUUUCUCUUUCUUCAACCUCCGGGACGGUAGGAGACGAACAGCAGAGGUAGGAGAUGAGAGUUUUAACCGAAGAGUAAUUAAGUCUUUUACACUUUCAAUUUUGGUUAAUUUUAAAACAAUGGAAAACAUAGGCUAUAUUUCAUUAGGUGGUUCUCAAAAUGGUUAUCUUUCCAAAUUUCUCACAUAUUGCUAUUUGUGUUGUGAAUAAUGUGGAUGGCACACAUGAAUAGUUUGUUACUAUUUAUGCAUAGUAUUUUUACCAUUCAUUUGUGGAGAAUUUGUAAAGUGAAUAGUGUUCUCUUUUGUUUAUAAAAUUAAUGAGAGGUGAAGAAGGUUGAGAGACUCACGGAGAGAUAAGAAGGAAGAAAGGAAGAGAUAAAGGAGAGGAAUAGGAGAGGAGAUAAUAGAGAGAGUUAUCUUUGUACUCCCAUUAUUCUAAAUUAUAAUGAAAGCACCACUACUGCCCCGAUGACGUACUCCAGUCACACUGAUUGUAAAGGAACCUCGUAAAUUUUGUGUCUUGUUUCAUUUAUUCCACUGCACCCACCGUCGAUUUUACAACACGUUAUCAACACGAGAAGCUCUCAUGUCAGUGGAAAGCACAACGCCAUAAAUCCGGUGAAGCAUUACCUACCUCUCACCUCUGCUAGCCAAAAUAUCACAGAAUAAAAGGUAUGUCCAUUUUCUGUCUCUCCCACUGUGCCUGAAGCACCCCACCAAAUUCCAGUGAGAAUUGAAAUUUACAACGACCUGAAGUCGUCACGAGAUGAGAAAACUCUUACUUGACAAUUGGUUUCCAAAGAUCCAGAAGAAUCUCAUCAGACUUGGAAACUCAGAUCGCGUCGUUUUUUAUGGAUCUCGAGAACUCCCAUGAAUACUCGAUUGUCUAAGAUGGUGAUGGCAGACCUGACUCCACAUAGGCCUCCCUCUCUUGUACCUCCAUCAACUCCGUUGUCAUCUAUGUCCCUAUAGGAAAGUUCUUGCUUUGUGAUGCCAUGUUCUCUGGGCCAUGCAAGAACAACGCCAAUCUGUAGUAGCCUUAUUGGAUUGAAUUGGUUUUAUGUGACCUCCACAACAACCCAGAUGGCCCUGGGUUUGAGACUAGUACAGACAGACAAAUAAGAAAAAGGAAGGAGGGAUUAUGGAAUGGUGUUUCAAGCACCGUGUGAAAAGGAAUUGGAAAAGUGGAAUUUUUGGACAAAGGUUUCUAAUGAUGCAUCUGCACCAUUUGAAUGAAAAAUAAUAAAUUAAUAAAAAGGGUUUUAGUGCUAUAUGAAAAAAAGGGUGGAAUCUUGUUGCAUAGUGCCGACACAACAUGUGAAAAAGAAAUAAUAAAAACAAAAAAGAUAAAGGCUUUUGGAUGGUGUUGUACCAUCAGAAAAGAAAGAAAGAAAAAAAAAAUUAUUUAUGUGAAUGGUGUUGGUUUAAAACACUUUCACAAGUUCUAUUUACUUUAAAGCAAUUUAUUUAUCAUGGACGGUUUUACCGCCUACUGCUUUAAGUUUUGAUUUAUGUGAAUGGUGUUGGUUUAAAAUCCUUUCACAAGUUCUAUUUACUUUAAAGCAAUUUAUUUACCUUGGACGGUUUUACCGCCUACUGCUUUAAGUUUUGAUUUAUGUGAAUGGUGUUGAAUUAAAGCCCUUGUUACAAGCUUUAUUUACUUAAAUGCAAUUUAUUUACUAUGGCUGUAAUUACUGCCUAUUGCUUUAAUUUAUUUAUUAUACUUAUUUUUGUUACAAUAAGUACAUACUGGACGUGAAGUUCCUUGAUCAGAUCAGAACCUGUAGUUUCUUGAUCCUCAUCACAUAAAAUGAUUGGACCCGAAGUUCCAUCAUGCAAAAAGUUCAGGCAUGAAGUCCCUAGAUCCUCAAGAUUGGACAUGAAGUUUCUUGAUAAGUACCUUAAGUUUGAAGUGUCGCAGUGCCUCAACUUAAUUGUAAUAAAGGUCAUAAGAGUCUCAGUCCACAUACUAUUUAAUAAGGACCAGAAGUUCCUUAUGUCCAUUCUCAAAAUGGUUUAGCAGAAGCAUUUAAUAAAGCGGAUGAAAUUGAUUACCCGCGCUCUGCUCAUGAAAACGAAAUUGCCAGUUUUGAUAUAGGGACAUGUCAUUUUACAUAAUUCAUUAUUAAGUUUGGUGGAGGCCAGUUGCCAACCACCAAUAUUUCCCAGUACAACUCAUGUUUGGGCACCAGCCAAACAUUAACAUUUACGAGUUUUUUGUUGUGUUAUCUAUGUGCCUAUAAGACUACCACAACGUACUAAAAUAAGGCAUCAAUACAAACUGGGAAUUUAUGUUGAAUUCUAUCCACCAUCUAUCAUUCAACAUUUGGAACCCUUGACUGGGGAUAUAUUUACCGCAUGAUUUGCAGACUAUGAUUUUGAUAAGACAGUUUUCCCGCCAUUAGGGGGAGAAAGUAACAUUGUUCCAGAAGAACGAUAAGAAAAUAUCCUUCCAUAAGAAUGAUAAGAAAAGACCGUUCCAAAAGAACGAAGAGAAUUUGUCUUAUUUUGAUUCACAAAGCAAUCAAUAUGAAAAUGAAGUAAGAAUAAUUGAAUGAUGCAACGAAAGUGAUGAAAUCAUAUAUACUUGCUGCAAAUGUGCCUACAAGAAUUAAUGUCCUUGUUGGACAAAAUAAUAUGGCAGUAAAUGAUUUAUCUGUUGCACGCCUGAAGCGUGGCAGACCCUUAGACUCAAAAGGUUCAUUCAUUCGAAAGAAAAAGAAUAUGGCACUGCUAAGCUAUUACAUUCCCGAAACAUAACUGUUGCAUGCCAGAAGCAUGACAGUCGCCACAUGGAUAUACGUCCCAGAAAGGACAAUCCGCGGACAUGGGAAUGUUGAUGUCUCAUGCAUGGAGCAUGAUAAACAUAUAGGUUCCAAUGACUUAACUCCCGGAAGUGGAGAUUAAAAUCCAAGUUCUAUAACGCUCUAGAAGAGGUUAUGAUCUGCAUUCUCUAAAUUAUGACUAUCCUGGAAGAGAUAGUGUAAUGCCCUUGAAAAGGCAAUGGAUAUCCAAAGAAAUAAAAAGCUUUUAUGCAUGCGCAUGCAUAUGAGAAUAUGGGAUCACGGAUUGAUGAUAAACAAUGGUAAUUUUGGUUUUUGUAAGUAGCUACUAAAUUCAUCAAUGAGCUGUGUUGAUAUUGAGUCUCGUUCUUUUUCGUCAACAAAACUAUUGGCAAAAUUGGAGAAAGGCAAUUCCAUUACAAUUUGUAAGAACGUGGAAAAAAUGGACCUAUAUAUAUUUGAAUAGCCAAAUUAUGUUGAACCAAUGAGGUUACAUAUAGGCAUUUGUAAUACAAUGAAAUACACUCACAUGAUAUGACAUAAGGUAUUGAAACUUGAAAUUAUACUCUUGUAAACAAGUUCAUAUGAAUGGAGAAUUAUAUACGAAGGGUUGUGAGUCACCCACAUCAUAUCUCCAUAAGUAAAUCCCUCAAGUAUACAUGGGAGAAAAUUGCUCUGUAUAAAUUCCAAAGGAAAAUGUAUCAUGAAGUGUAGAAAAUCCCUAAAGGAUACAAUGAAAUACACUCACAUGAUAUGACACAAGGUAUUGAAACUUGAAAUUAUACUCUUGUAAACAAGUUCAUAUGAAUGGAGAAUUAUAUACGAAGGGUUGUGAGUCACCCACAUCAUAUCUCCAUAAGUAAAUCCCUCAAGUAUACAUGGGAGAAAAUUGCUCUGUAUAAAUUCCAAAGGAAAAUGUAUCAUGAAGUGUAGAAAAUCCCUAAAGGAUUCAAAUUGCUUGAAGUAAGCCCCCGAAGGGUAAAGCAUAAAUUAUAUACUCAAUACCAAUGGAUGGUAUAAAUUGCCUUAGUGAGUACUAUCAUUAUGAUAUUGUUGCAACAUACUAAAAUCUCUUGCAAGAUUCAAUGACAUUAAAUAAGAACUCCUGAAGAGUUGAUGAUAUUAAAUUGGGACUCCUGAAGAGUCAAGAAAUAUUAUAAAGUGUUGAGAGAAAUAUUGUCUCGAGCUGCAGAUCGAACAAUCUACCAACAUGAAUCUUAUCCAUGAUGUCUAUAAUAUUAAAAGAACCAUAUGGAUUGAAGAUUAUGAGUUGAAUACUCAAAUGAUGUAGACACUAAGAAAGAUCAUUUAUCUUCGUGAGGGUAAAGAUAAAUUAAUGUUUGGUCCAGAAGUACCACAUCUUAGUGAAGUAUAUGCUUUAUUGUAUUUAGCACAAUACAUUGAAUGAAAUAAAACUUAUCUACUAAUAUCUCCGAGAAAUUACAGAUAUGUGCAUACACAUGAGUUAAAACGAACAAACAGGAUGAAGCCUUCACAAAGGUUGCUCAUGUGAAGCCUCAGUGCUCGACAGUACACCAGAAGGAGAAGGCAUUGGAGAUUGAUCAUGUGGCACCCCAGUACUUGGAAAAACACCAGGAGGGGAAGGCAUCAGUUGCUUUCGAAAUCUAGCAAUGAACCUUUGGUGAUCACUUUGAGUCCGACUUUCAGAUUCCUGCAGCUGGUCGAGCUUUCUUUUCAUGUUUGUAGAGUAAUUAUUUGCAAGCACGUGUAACACUCUAUUCUCAUGCUUGAGCCCUCUGAUCUCUUGUUUAAGACUUGCCACCUCAGCCAUCAAGGAUUCAACUUGGAAAGUUUGAGCAAGUAGGCGUUGGCCCAUAUGGAAACAGAGCCAGCACACUGAACACUGAGAGCCAAUGAGUCUUGAACAGCCAACUCGUCAGACCGUUUUGAAAAGAUUUUGUUAUCCUUUGGAGUGUGAAAAUUCCUAGCUACCACAGUAGCAGUUAUGUUAUUCUUCAUCACAGAGUCCCCAACUGUAAGAGGACCAUUAGAAGAUAAGAAGGACGGGCGCCAUAUGUUAUCUUGACGUUGCUCGUCUGUAUCACUCCUAAGACUCAAAUCUAAGCAAAUGUUAGAUGGGCAAGUCAUUUUCAGAAAUGAUGAAGGAAAAAUGAGGUCAAGUAAAAUUUCAGAAGUGCAAGAAGGAGGAAAUUUCUACAGGCAGCAACUUUCUGAGCAUACUCUUAAACACAAUUGAUGUCUCUAUGAAAGAAAAGGCAACAUAGCCACUUGUUUAGAGAUCGAAGAGGCACCGCUCUCCGAAUUUCAAAAGCCAGAUUUUCCUGAAUAAAGUUCGUUGGCAUUUUUCAGACGCAAUCUCAUCUUUUUCUGCUAUCGCAUGCAACUUUGUCAAAGAUCUCUGACAAAAUUGAAAACGCGUAAAUCUUACUAUUCUAAUUACACCACAGUUGCUGACAAGAGUAAAAGCACAUCACCAUUAUCUGCUAUUGGGAAAAUCCCUAUAUAUGUCGACCUUCAUCGUCCAUGGCAAGGCACACAUCUAAAACUCCUAACUUUCUCUCAUCUCCGAGAAUGCAUCUUCAACAAAGCAUCUCGAAAUACUCAGUUUUCUUCCUCUUCGAGAAUACCUCUUCAAACAAGUCACACCAGAGCAAGAGUAUCUCAUAUCUUCAGGGACGAGAGCAAGAGUAUUUCAUAUCAUGUAAUCUCCAUGUCCUUUCCUUUAUCCUUGUUCUUACUUGCAAAGACAAUAAUAAAGAAAGCAAUAUGUCGGAACGUCCACUCAAACUCCUGGUAAGGAACCAACUGCUUGGAACCUUUCCUGAUUGCUUACCUAGUAUUGCUCUCGAGUAGCCAUCUUCAACUGUUGUUGAAGUUGGGUCUCCAGUCACCAAGAAGUGAUGAACCAUCCAAAUGCAAGGGUUGCAUUCCACUCCUGCAUUAGAAGGCAAAUACUGCAGGAGAAUAUGCCACACAUGCAUGAGGGAAAUCCAGGGAAAAUACUACUUAAGCAAGGGGAGAAAGCAAGGCAAGUGAAAAUGAUACAUUGAAGUAUGUGGAGACAAGUGCAACAAACACAUGUUGAUUCAUCCUUGACAAAGCCGAAGAUCACUUGCCACGUGAAGCUUCUCACGGUACAACUUCAUUCAAGAUCAAGUUUCGAAGGUCCUUGAAGAAAUCACAAGUUUGAUUCAAGAUCAAGUGUCCACAACCCUUGAAUUAAAUCUAGCUCCAGAUAAAAGAAGUAAAUUAAGACCUUUGGAAGAAGUCUAGCAGAAUGCACUCCAGCCCAGUUCAAGAACAAGCCUGUGGAAAGUUAACAACAAGUUAAACACCUCUUUCGGCAACUUUUCUUACUAAGAGACUGAAGCAGAAUGAUCAACGAUCAGCCUAAAUGAUUUGAAAUCAGGCGGAGAUACUCAUCAGGGGAAGCAUUCAAAACAGAUCAAGAUUUUAAAGAGUUAAUCGAAGACUUAUGGCCAUCCAAGGGGGAAUGUUGUGAAUAAUAUGUGGAUGACCCACAUGAAUAGUUUGUUACUAUUUAUGCACAGUAUUUUCACUAUUCAUUUGUGGAAAAUUUGUAAAAUGAAUAGUGUUCUCUUUUGUUUAUAAAAUGAAUGAGAGGUGAAGAAGGUUGAGAGACUCACGGAGAGAUAGGAAGGAAGAAAGGAAGAGAGAAAAGAGAGGAAGAGGAGAUGAGAUAAUAGAGAGAGUUAUCUUUGUACUUCUAUUAUUCUAAAUUAUAAUGAAAGCACCAUUGCUGCCUCGUUGACGUACUCCAGUCACACUGACUGUAGAGGAACUUCGUAAAUUUUGUAUCUUGUUUCAUUUAUUCCACUACACCUACCAUCGAUUUUACAACAAUUUGUAAUCUUUUUGCAACAUUGAUUGUUACUAAUGCGAAUGUCGCAAAUAUUUUUCGAUGCAUGGUCUAGCGCUCCUAAUUUGUUUUGCUCGUAGACUGUGUAGUGUUAUUUGACACCUAAAAUUUCGCAAAUGACCUUUUUCUUGUAAUUAAUAACCUUGUUCUCUUCAAGUAAUCCAAUGUGUUUUUUAUCUUAUUUUUGCAAAUGAUAAAAAUUCCUAUGAAAUCCUAUAGGAUCUAGAAGAUCCUUUCUUUUAUAUUUUAUGUCACUUGGAAGGCAAAUAUACUGAUCAUGAUUAGUAUAAUAAAGACACAUGAUAGAAGAAAAUAUAUUGUUUCAUCAAAUACAUAAAUUCGCAACUAUUACUUACAACAAAAGAUGUUUUAUCAAACACAUACAUACGUAGAUGUAAGUGUCCAGACAUUCAUGAUACAUAGUCCAUUAGAAAUCAUUAUAAUGAUUAAAUGAUCAAGAACAUAUACAAACACGAUUUUAAAAAUUAGACAUGAUACACUGACGAGAGCAUUCAAAAUCAUAAGAACGAUUAUUUGCAAGUGUCAGACAUCGAUCUCUCACUUAAAAGUAGUUUCUAAUUGAUUCCCUUGUCGUCGCCGUACAAAGCUGCAUCAACUCCUCCACCACCCCAUCCAUCUCUUCAUCCUCUUUCUUCUUCAUGUUGUCUCUUAAUUCCAAUGCCUUUAUCCUCACACCCUCUCCAAUUUUCUCCACCACCACAUCUAUGAUCACCUUCGCCACCUCUUGCCGUUGCAAAUUACCUCCUCCGCCGGUUCUUAUAACCUCAACACCAACGCCAACCUCCUCCACCAGUCUGGCGUUUACCGGCUGGUCAAGUUGCAUAGGCAUGGCUAUAAUCGGAACACCAAACUUGAUGCUCUCCAACACCGAGCUCCAUCCACAGUGACUCACAAACCCACCAACACUCGAAUGCUUCAAUAUUUUUGCCUGUGGGGCCCAAUCCUCUACUAUCAUUCCCCUCUCUCCUACCCUCUCCCCAAAUCCUUUUGGCAAAACAUCUUCAACCCUGGUACUUUUCUCUUCCUUAGGAAACCUAAUAACCCAAAUGAAACUCACUUGGCUAAGCUCCAAUCCAAGAGCUAUCUCUUGUAUUUCCUCCUUGGACAAAAAGUACUCGCUCCCGAAGGACACAAACACGACUGAAGCUCUUUCCCUUUCGUUUAGCCAUUUGAUGAUCGACGAUUCCUCAUCUACUUUUUGAUCCAUUGGGUCUUGAACAAGUGAUCCAACGGGCACAAUCUUCUUCUCCGUUAACUUGGAGAGAUAAUCAACACACUUUGAUUCAAUCUCUCCAGAAGUCUUUACCAAAAUGAUGUUACGAGACCGAUGACUGCACAGCAGUACGCGUUCUCCGUUCGUGAUGCCAUUUGCUGAAGAUUCUAUCAGAUUGCUGAACUCCUUAAUUUCGUAAUCCCGAAGAUAGAUGGAAGGAUAAGGGAAUUGAACAUUAGGGUUCUUGAGAUGGUGAAACCAAAGUGACAUCAAGGAAGCACUGGUGGUGGUGAACUCGACGGCCGGAAUGUUGUGCGACAAAGCUAGGGACGGUGCCCAUGGCUGGAGAAAAUCAUAUACGAGCAAAUCAGGUUUUAGGGUUUUGAGGAUGUGGGAGAAGUUAUCGCUGGACAUGUCAAAGGCUUUUUUGAGAGUGGGCAUGAGAUGGGGUGGGAGGCCAUUGGUGGUGUGGUAGUGAGGUGGCAACUCAUCGUGUGGAAGAUGAAGUUCCACAAACUCAAUGCAGUGGGAGUAUUUCUUAGGGAGUUUGGGCUUGAUGGAGCUGAGAUUAACAGGUGUGGAGCAAAUGAAGAUGUGAAAAUCUCUGUGGCUGGUGAGCUUCUUGGCUAGCUCGAGGAAGGGCGAAAUAUGGCCGUGACCUAACCAUGGAAGCAU